UACAGGGGGUGCAAGCGUUGCUCGGAAUUAUUGGGCGUAAAGGGUCCGUAGGCGGCCAUGCAAGUCGGGUGUGAAACCCCCGGGCUCAACCCGGGACGUGCACUCGAUACUGCGUGGCUUGAGUUCGGGAGAGGGAAGCGGAAUUCCCAGUGUAGAGGUGAAAUUCGUAGAGAUUGGGAGGAACACCAGAGGCGAAAGCGGCUUCCUGGACCGAAACUGACGCUGAGGGACGAAAGCGUGGGGAGCAAACAGG
This 253-nucleotide ribosomal RNA is filed under the name uncultured bacterium. RNAcentral's name for it is "partial 16S ribosomal RNA". It matches the Rfam family "Bacterial small subunit ribosomal RNA", at positions 524 to 776 of the family's 1533-position model. The record is from RNAcentral.